Molecule: ribosomal RNA, 532 nt
Filed under: Stenonema sp. BYU IGCEP026
Lineage: Eukaryota; Metazoa; Arthropoda; Insecta; Ephemeroptera; Heptageniidae
Description: partial 16S ribosomal RNA
Rfam family: Bacterial large subunit ribosomal RNA
Source: RNAcentral
CCUCUCGAAGUUUAUGGGAGGUCUAGCCUGCCCACUGAAGGAUAUAAAGGGCCGCGGUAUUUUGACCGUGCAAAGGUAGCAUAAUCAUUAGUCUUCUAAUUAAAGGCUGGAAUGAAUGGCUGGACGAGGUAUUAGCUGUCUCUUAGGGAUAAAUUUGAAUUUAACCUUCUAGUGAAAAGGCUGGAAUGAAAUUGGAGGACGAGAAGACCCUAUAGAGCUUUACACUUUCCUGUAUCUCAAUUCGUUUAGUAGGAGUUAAUUUUUGUGGAGGGAGUGUUUCGUUGGGGUGACGAGAAGAUAGAAGAAACUCUUCUUUAAAUAAGACACAACUAAGUGAUUAAUUGAUCCAUUUUUAAUGAUUAAAAGACUAAGUUACCUUAGGGAUAACAGCGUAAUCUUUUUUGAGAGUUCUAAUCGACAAAAAGGGUUGCGACCUCGAUGUUGGACUAAGGAUUAUUCUUGGGUGCAGAAGUUCAAGGUUUAGGUCUGUUCGACCUUUGAAUCCUUACAUGAUCUGAGUUCAAACCGGAGA